AGAGUUUGAUCAUGGCUCAGAACGAACGCUGGCGGCGUACUUAACACAUGCAAGUCGGACGAGAAAGGAAGCUUCGGUUUCUGAGUAAAGUGGCGCACGGGUGCGUAACACGUAAGUAAUCUACCCUAGACUCUGGGAUAACUCCCCGAAAGGGGGGCUAAGACUAGAUAGAGUACCUGAGGCAUAAGCUGCAGGAGGAAAACAAGCCUCUAUAUUAUGCUUGUGGUUUAGGAUGAGCUUGCGGCCCAUUAGCUAGUUGGCGGGGUAACGGCUCACCAAGGCAACGAUGGGUAGCUGGUCUGAGAGGAUGAUCAGCCACACUGGCACUGAGAUACGGGCCAGACUCCUACGGGAGGCAGCAGUGGGGAAUUUUGCGCAAUGGGCGAAAGCCUGACGCAGUAACGCCGCGUGGAGGAUGAAGGCCUUCGGGUUGUAAACUCCUGUCAGAGGGAACGACGGCUGUAGGGUAAAUAGCCUUACAUUCUAGACGGUACCCUCAAAGGAAGCCCCGGCUAAUUCCGUGCCAGCAGCCGCGGUAAUACGGAAGGGGCAAGCGUUGUUCGGAAUCAUUGGGCGUAAAGGGCGCGUAGGUGGUCCUAUGUGUCUACCGUGAAAGCUCACGGCUCAACCGUGUCGGGUCGGUGGAAACUGUAGGACUUGAGGCUGGGAGGGGCUGGUGGAAUUCCCUGUGUAGCGGUGAAAUGCGUAGAGAUGGGGGAGAACACUCGUGGCGAAAGGCGGCCAGCUGGACCAGUCCUGACACUGAGGCGCGACAGCGUGGGGAGCAAACAGGAUUAGAUACCCUGGUAGUCCACGCCGUAAACGAUGGGCACUAGGUGCCCGGCGGUAUUAAUCCCGUCGGUGCCGGCGCUAACGCAGUAAGUGCCCCGCCUGGGGAGUACGGUCGCAAGGCUGAAACUUAAAUGAAUUGACGG
Molecule: ribosomal RNA, 935 nt
Filed under: uncultured bacterium
Lineage: Bacteria
Description: bacterial SSU rRNA
Rfam family: Bacterial small subunit ribosomal RNA
Source: RNAcentral